Acinonyx jubatus (cheetah) is the source of this 6453-nucleotide long non-coding RNA. RefSeq lists it as uncharacterized. The record is from RefSeq and is a predicted model, not a curated record. The transcript is spliced from 4 exons. NCBI's taxonomy places the organism in Eukaryota, Metazoa, Chordata, Mammalia, Carnivora, Felidae.
CUCCCCGGAAGGUGCGUGUGCGGCUUAGGAGCUCUCUCCCGGGGGAGUCGGGCAGGGCGGUGUUGAGGAUCUUGGCGGCCACCGCGGCCGUCCUCGUCCCCAGUUUGGAGUCUGGCUUUUCGGCGCCAUUCUCCCAGGCCCACGUGCUCCCGUUCCUUAAGGGGCGCCCUCGGCCGUUUCUGCUCCCGUCGCGCCGCUACCUGGCGCUGCUCACCUGUGAUCGCACACACGUGGCACCCAGGCUCCCAGCUCUGUUACCUGCCAGGGCCGGGGGAGGGCUUCUUGGCGUCUCCCAGCACCGCCACCCCUGCGCCUCCGGGGCGGGCUGCCGCCGCGCUCCGCAGCCCUGUCUGCAUUUCCCGCCUUCCUUCGCCUACCGCUCUGUUGCUAGCACCUCAGAGGACCCACGGAUGCGCGGAGCUGCAGGGGCCGCCCCUCAGACCCCUAAUUUUGGCAGAGGGGAAGCAGAAGCAAGUUUUCAGACAUGUUCAUAUGUUGAAUGAAUGGAAUCUCUCAGCCCUGAGAUGAUGUUGAAAUGCAAGAGAUGGAGACACUGGUAGGUAGACCUUGCCCCCGUGGAAACUCCUGGAGGAAGUUGGAAGUCAUCAGAGACACAAUGGGCUUCGAAAGUGUACACCUGAACAAUCAAGAUAAUAUCUUAUUCCUGUGGAUGGAGAUCCCUUUUUCAAUGAAGCCAAUGACUCCAAGAAAAACAUUAUCUAAGCCCAGAUAAGUAAAAUGAAAGUUAAUAUCAGCUUUUCAUUUCUUAAAAGUGCCAAAAAUGAGCCAGGGUUUAUUUUUCAACAAAGGCAAAUAAUUUAAGUAACUUCACUUGACAAAAGAUAAUGCACUGCGAGGUGGUACUGUAGCUCUGUGACCUGAGCAAAUACGCAAAGUGUGAUACAGGAACCACAUGACUUCACAGAGCUGUUGUUGGUAACGAAAUAUAUUAAGAUGUGCAAAGCGAUAAACAUGGCUUCUGGGCCAGAGCAGGGUGUGAAGGAAAUGACAAACAUUAUUCAAAGUUGGCACAGGCUAAGUGGAGAUGGGUACGGAGAGGGUCAUCCCUUCCUAAGUAGCCAGCAGGGAAGGUAAGCGCAGGGGCAGCCAUGGAAGUCGGGGACAAGCCAUACCUAGAGCUUUUUUAUACAUUUUAUCAAAUGAAAAGCAUUUCAUGGAUAAUUAUGAAUAAAUAUGAAUCUUGGGAUGUCUAUUUCUAUUUUAUCUAUUUGGAUCACAUUGACGAUGGCUUUUUGCCAGUUUGUCAAAUUAUUAUGCUUCAACAAGAAAAAUCCAUUAAUUCUGUAGCUUUGUGAUAGUCAUAAUUUUCUCAAGAUUGCCAAAUCAUAAAGUGAGUUUGCAUUAAAGCUGUACUCAAACUUUAACAUAAUCUGUGAUUACAUCAAGUAGUGAUUGAGAAGGGUUGAAACUUAGUGAGCAAAUUGUCUUUGUGAUUUGUAAAAUCUUAUUUCAGUUUGGUGUGUUAUUUCAUGUUAUGCUAACAUUAGCUAAUAUUUUAUAUAACUUGUGAAUAACUUUUAAUAGAAAAAUAUGUUGAAAGAAAAGGAUUUUGAUAUAUGUGUCACAGCAAGUCACUUACUAGAUGAUCCCCCUCUGAUUAUCCAAUGGCUUCUCCAUUGCCUGGUCCAAUUCCCAAAUCUCAGUACUCAUAUUACUUGACUUAUGUAUGGGAUGCCCAUAUAAUUCAUUAUCGGACUGGGCUGCAUUUCAGAGUAAAAGAGGGCGCUAUUAGUAACAACACCAGAACAGAACCAGAGGAAGCUGGGAUGGUCCUGAGCAAGUCAGGGUAAAUGGUUACCCUACCUACCAGCAACAUUUGAUAGAGUAAACCACUAUUUCUUUCUUAAUGCACUUUCUCCACUCAGUUCUAAAACAUCAUACUCUCUUGGUUUUCUUCCUACUUCACAAGCCUCUCAUUCUUGACCUACUUGGAUGGUUCUUCAUCUUCUCCCCAACCUUUCAACGUUGAAACCUCCUAGGACUCAAUCCUUGGUCCCCUUCUCUCUCUCUUUUUUUCCCCACAUGCACUCUUCUGGUAAGCUUAUCCAAUCUCAUGGCUUUAAAUAUAAUCUGUAUGCAGAUGUGAUGGUUUUAAAAGUAUGUCCAGGAAUCCUUUGGAAUAUCUGUCCUCAAAAGGUGAAGCUUAAUUUGACCUGCCUUGAGUGUGAACGGGAUUUUUUGAUUGGCUUCUACUUAAUAGAGUAAGGCAGAAAUAAUUGAAGGUCAUUUCCAAGUUUAGGUUAUAAAGAGGCAUCAGCUUCCAUUUUGAAUAAUUCCUCACUGUCUCUUGGGUCACUCAUCCUGAGCUAAGCCAGAUACUAUGUUGUGAGAGGCCCACAUGGUGAGGAUCCAAGGCUACCAACAGGCAUGUGGGUGAACAUGGAAGUGUAUCUUCUGAGAUCUGCCAACUGCUAUGUAAGUGAACUUGGAAGCUGAUCUUUCCCCAAACUAACCUUCAAAUGAGACUGCAGCCCUACCAACACCUUGAUUGCAGUCUCAAAGCCAGAACUAUCUGGCUGAGUGGCUCCCAGACUCCUGAUCCACAGACACCUUGGGGGUAACAAAUGAUUGUUGUUGUAAACUGCUACGUUUUGAGUAAUUUAUUACCUAGCAACACAUAAUACAGUCAAUUCCCGUAUCCAUCUGUCUCCCCACUUUUUCUUCCAGAUGUCUAACAAUCAUCUCAAACUCAACAGGUCCAAAACUGGACUGCUUUAUCUCACACAUCCAGAACCUACCCCAUCCCAGUCUUUCCCAUUGCAGUAGAAGGCCACUCCAUCCUUUUGGUUUCUUGGACCAAGAGAUUUUAGUCCUUGUUUGCUCUCUCUCUGCCUCAAAUUUGGCAGAUUGGCCUUAUCUCUGAUAAGGGCCACCUUUGUUUGAUAACAAAGUUUGUUCAGAAUCCAGCCACCUUGGACUACACUUAUUGCACCUUCUCUGGGCUUAGCCGCCAUUGUCCCUUGCCUGGAUUACUGCAGUGAUCUCCUAACAGCUCUCCUCCUUUCUGCCCUUGUCAUCUCCCCUGACCCUAGGCUAUUUGCAGCAAAGAAGCCAGUGUACUUCCUUUAAAGCACACAUGAGAUCACAGUACUGCUCUGCUACAAUGUUUUCAAUGGCUUACCAUCUCACUUGGCCAAAAAAGACAAAUCAGGUCCUCCUAAGGGCCCACCAGGCCCUGCUUGACCUGGCACCUGUUACCUGUUGACUGCCUCUCAGCCUCCCACACUCGUUUCCUGGCCCAUUGGCCACCUGGCUGCUCCUUUACCAUGCCAGGCACACUCCAGCCUUCAGGCCUUUGCUUUUCUGUUUUCUCUUCCAGGAAGGCUCUUUCUCCUGAUGCCUCGGCUAACCCUUUCAUUUCCUUCAUAUGUCUGCUCAAAACUGCCUUUUGCAAUGAGGCCUGUAUUGUUCACUCCCUUCACUAUUGGAACUGCCUCCCCUCUGGUAUGAAUUGCCAGUUCCUUUUACGCAAUUCUAUUUUCCCCCCAUUGCAAUUUCCAACAUACUAGAUCAUUUGUUAUGUUUCUUAUCUGAUAUUUUCUAUUGCCUCUUGCUAGAAAACAAGCCCCGUAAGAGCCCCAUAAGAUAUUUUCUAUUGCCCCGUAAGUGCCUAGAAUAGUACCUUACAUAUAGACAUGCUCAACAAAAAUUUGUUGAAUAGAUGAAUGAAUGGUUAUAUGAGUAGUGCCAUCAUCUGGGGGAAGAAACAUUGAGGCCAAUAACUCAAGAAGAAAUAAUUUUUAUGGAUCUUACACACCAGACCAAAAUGGCAAAUAUCAGUUUAUACACUUCCAUUAGUCUGCUUAUUUGCCGAACUUGGCCCUUGGUGGUUUCCUUCAGGGCAGCAGAAAUGAAGUGUGCAGGCUCUGAAACCUGAAUGCCUAAGUCCUGGGUUCAGCUCCACCACUCACUGGCUUGGUGACCUCGGGAAGCUGCAUAACUCCCAUGCCUCAUUUGCCUAUCUAUAAAACAGAAAAUCACCCUUUAAUGUUGAAGUUUCCAAGGGCUCACACUGUGGUCUCCUUUCCUUUUUUCUUCAUACUCACUCUUUUGGUGAUCUUAUCUGGUGUCAUUUGGUUUCAAAUAUGAUCUGUAUGUCGGUGAGAUGGUUUUAAAAAUAUGUUCUUGAUUCCCUCAGUAUAUCUUCUCCCAAAAUGUGAAGCUUAAUUUCCUCCUUUUGAGUGUGGCUGGACUUGUUGGCUUAUGUCUAAGAAGAGACUCUGGUACAAGGGAUGGGAUGUCACUUCCUACCUGAUGGGAAUUUUUCGAGAACUAAUCAAGUUACUACAAGUGAAGGGCUCUGAACAGUGCCUGGCACAAAGUGAGCAGACACUGUUGUGUUUGUGAUAUUCAGCAGGUUUGCUCUCCGGGUGGCCCUAAAAUUUCUCUUUCCAAAUGUGCUGCUUUGGAUAAGGCUUGAUGAGUAAAUUUUUGAAAAGCAUGGGAAAUAAAUAGAUAUCUGUUAUUUUAGUGAACAGACACAAGCAAUCUCAAUUUUCAGUCCUGCUGGAGCCAGGAUGGGCUAUGUCAACGUGUGAAUGAGGGCAUGUGGUGAAAUCUACAAUGAAGUCACAUUUUUCAGCCCAAAACAGUUAAAAUCAUUUAAGUUUAUAGAAAACAUGGGAAAUGCAUUUAUAUAGCUCUUAUUUAAAAAAUAAUAUUGAAGAUGUAUCUAUUUUAUUCUGAAAUAUGAUUUUUGGAAAAAAGAUCUGUGAAGCAAAGGGAAGGUUAUUAAAUAUUGGUAAAUAUGUCAAGCAAAGGUGUUAAGCUUGAAAGUUCCUUAAGUAUGUUAAUGACGUUAAUGUUAAAAUACAUUAAAUUAAUAAAAGAGGGCAGCUGGGCUAGCCAUGAGGACAUAUGACCUGUGCAGUCACGUGGGUCCCCAUGUUCCAAAGGUACUUAUGUGUGGUCUCAUGCUCUGCUCUUUGAACAAGGCACCCCAUAUUUUCAUUUCAGCCUGGGUUCCGCAAAUUAUGUAAGCCAGUACUGGAGUUGGUAAUUAUCAACUGUGAACUUCGACUGCCUCAGGGGUAAAAGGAGAUUUCAAAACCAUCUGGGCAGGUUAUGAAAUACACUUAACUUCUUUGUAUCUCAUACUAUUUAUAGUGAAACGCAACCGAAAGCAUUUUUCCUCUGGCAGUGGAAGCAAAGGGUAUGUUCUUGUCAAUAAAUUUCUGUGGCUACCAUAGAUCUUCACUCACCGAUGCUAAUAACACAGAUCUGAAAAUAACUAUGUGGCUCAUACAUAGUUCCACAAUACUUUAAAAAUCAGACAUCAAAUCCUGUAAAAAUACAAUAACACUUCUUUAAAAUAGCUCCUCAUUAUACAUAUUUGAAUAUGCUUCCAAAUACAUCCUAAAAACAUACAGAACAUUCUACUCUAAAUGAGAUAAAUUGGAUACAUUCCCCAAACACAUAGGAGUUUCAGUCUUUGAAUUAAAAAACAAAAACACCAACAAAAACUAAAGUAAACUCAAGAGUUAGCCAUCAUUCUUUCCCUCUGUCCAUCAAGGGGGGCAGACUAAUAAACUUUCCUGCUACAUUAUAAACUCUUUGAGAGCUUGGGCUCUCUGUCUUACAUCGCCAGAGUGCAGCAGGAAGCCAUAGGCAGAGGAGACCCUUCAACCCACGCCAGUAUUGAUUAGCUACUACAUUAUUAACAAUUAACUCUUAGGCUAGUAGAGGAGAUUGAGAUCUCUUCUCUUUUUGGACUGAGGGUGAGGCCUCAGAACCCUUCCUGGAAAACUCUUCAGAAAGGGUUCCUCUUCAUAGCAAACACAGAACAUCUGUGCCAGUCCUGUUCUAACCUUUUACAUGUACUCAUUCUUUUCCUCCUCCUCUCAAGCCAUCCUGUAAGAUAAAUACCAUUUUAUCCCCAUUUUACAGACCAGGAAAUCAAGGCACGUAGCGCGUAGGUUAUAGUUAGCAAAUGGCAGAGCUGAGAGAUUCAGUCUCAGCAGUGUUGUCCCCAAGCGUAUGAUUUGUGCAUUGGGCCACAUCUCCAAGCAAGGGUUCGAGUUAGCCACAGGAAGAGGGGUCGGUGGUCAGAGCAGCAGGGACGGAGGUAAGGAGGCAAGAGGAGCCAGACCCACUGGGAGGGAUGAAGGUGGGUCACAGGGCCAGGCCACGGAGCCACGGAGAGUGUGGGGACAUGUGAUGUAUCUUCCAAAGUGCUGUCGCCCUGAUUCUCCUUUGGGGAAGUGACAGGGAAGGAUUCCUGUAUUCAUAUCCUUUUAAAGCAGUGGCGCGAAGGCUCAGUCCUGGACCCGCGGGCUGGCUCUGACGCCACGUGGCAGGUCCGCGGCGAGGUCUGGCCCACGGCGCCCCCUGCGUGUGCGAGGUGUGCUCGCAGCUCGCUGUCCUUUGCAACAGACGCCGGCGGCCCGCACUCCUUCCCUCCCCCGCUCCACUGCGGGGACGAUGAGCCGGCUU